AAGGAAUAUUGGACAAUGGGCGCAAGCCUGAUCCAGCCAUGCCGCGUGAAGGAUGAAGGCCCUAUGGGUCGUAAACUUCUUUUAUACGGGACAAAACCCCUCCUCGUGAGGAGGGUUGAUGGUACUGUAAGAAUAAGGGUCGGCUAACUUCGUGCCAGCAGCCGCGGUAAUACGAAGGACCCGAGCGUUAUCCGGAUUUAUUGGGUUUAAAGGGUGCGUAGGCGGAUUAGUAAGUCAGUGGUGAAAGCCCGUCGCUUAACGGCGGAACUGCCAUUGAUACUGCUAGUCUUGAGUAUGGUUGAGGUGGGCGGAAUGUGUCAUGUAGCGGUGAAAUGCUUAGAUAUGACACAGAACACCAAUUGCGAAGGCAGCUCGCUAAGCCAUAACUGACGCUGAGGCACGAAAGCGUGGGGAGCAAAC
This 420-nucleotide ribosomal RNA is filed under the name uncultured bacterium. RNAcentral describes it as "bacterial SSU rRNA". It matches the Rfam family "Bacterial small subunit ribosomal RNA", at positions 356 to 773 of the family's 1533-position model. The record is from RNAcentral.